AUAGGUGGCUUGCGCUGGUUACUAGCCUUGGGCGAGGUUUAUUUGUGACCGGAGGGGUCCUUUGGACAAUGCUUGUCCACAACUAUCGUGGCUAUAGGGGUUCUCAUCCCUUACCCAAAGGUUAUGUAUGGUUUCGAGGUAGAGUAAUUUGGGAUUGGUACUAGGCUUGGGCAAGGAUUGUUUGACUAUCCUGGUGCUUAGCUCCUUU
This 208-nucleotide long non-coding RNA is filed under the name Carica papaya (papaya). Its description in RNAcentral is "long non-coding RNA (CPAP_LNC004334)". Lineage: Eukaryota; Viridiplantae; Streptophyta; Magnoliopsida; Brassicales; Caricaceae. The record is from RNAcentral.